Molecule: ribosomal RNA, 484 nt
Filed under: uncultured bacterium
Lineage: Bacteria
Description: partial 16S ribosomal RNA
Rfam family: Bacterial small subunit ribosomal RNA
Source: RNAcentral
AUUGAACGCUGGCGGCAUGCUUUACACAUGCAAGUCGAACGGCAGCGCGGGCUUCGGCCUGGCGGCGAGUGGCGAACGGGUGAGUAAUGCAUCGGAACGUGCCCAGUAGUGGGGGAUAGCCCGGCGAAAGCCGGAUUAAUACCGCAUACGACCUGAGGGUGAAAGCGGGGGACCGAAAGGCCUCGCGCUAUUGGAGCGGCCGAUGUCGGAUUAGCUAGUUGGUGGGGUAAAGGCUUACCAAGGCGACGAUCCGUAGCUGGUCUGAGAGGACGACCAGCCACAACUGGAACUGGGACACGGCCAAAAUCCCUCGGGGAGGAAGCAGGGGGAAAUUUUGAAAAAUGGGGCAACCCUGAUCCAGCCAUGCCGCGUGCGGGAAGAAGGCCUUCGGGUUGUAAACCGCUUUUGUUCGGGAAGAAAUCCUCUGGGCUAAUACCCCGGGGGGAUGACGGUACCGGAAGAAUAAGCACCGGCUAACUACGUG